RNAcentral lists this ribosomal RNA (460 nucleotides) under uncultured bacterium. RNAcentral's name for it is "partial 16S ribosomal RNA". It matches the Rfam family "Bacterial small subunit ribosomal RNA", at positions 338 to 795 of the family's 1533-position model. The record is from RNAcentral.
CCUACGGGGGGCUGCAGUGAGGAAUAUUGGUCAAUGGACGAGAGUCUGAACCAGCCAAGUAGCGUGAAGGAUGACUGCCCUAUGGGUUGUAAACUUCUUUUAUAUGGGAAUAAAACGUUCCACGUGUGGGAUUUUGUAUGUACCAUAUGAAUAAGGAUCGGCUAACUCCGUGCCAGCAGCCGCGGUAAUACGGAGGAUCCGAGCGUUAUCCGGAUUUAUUGGGUUUAAAGGGAGCGUAGGUGGAUUGUUAAGUCAGUUGUGAAAGUUUGCGGCUCAACCGUAAAAUUGCAGUUGAAACUGGCAGUCUUGAGUACAGUAGAGGUGGGCGGAAUUCGUGGUGUAGCGGUGAAAUGCUUAGAUAUCGCGAAGAACUCCGAUUGCGAAGGCAGUUCACUGGACUGCAACUGACACUGAGGCUCGAAAGUGUGGGUAUCAAACAGGAUUAGAUACCCCAGUAGUC